RNAcentral lists this transfer RNA (70 nucleotides) under Urocitellus parryii (Arctic ground squirrel). RNAcentral's name for it is "Spermophilus parryii (Arctic ground squirrel) tRNA". It matches the Rfam family "tRNA". From Rfam's summary of the family: Transfer RNA (tRNA) molecules are approximately 80 nucleotides in length. Their secondary structure includes four short double-helical elements and three loops (D, anti-codon, and T loops). RNAcentral also lists the same sequence under 2 other names. The record is from Rfam by way of RNAcentral. Lineage: Eukaryota; Metazoa; Chordata; Mammalia; Rodentia; Sciuridae.
GGGGAAAUGGCUCAGUUGACAGAGCACUUACCUUGCAUGUAAAAGGCCCUGGGUUCAAUCCCAAGCACCA